Molecule: ribosomal RNA, 484 nt
Filed under: uncultured bacterium
Lineage: Bacteria
Description: partial 16S ribosomal RNA
Rfam family: Bacterial small subunit ribosomal RNA
Source: RNAcentral
AUUGAACGCUGGCGGCAGGCCUAACACAUGCAAGUCGAGCGGAUGAAGGGAGCUUGCUCCUGGAUUCAGCGGCGGACGGGUGAGUAAUGCCUAGGAAUCUGCCUGGUAGUGGGGGAUAACGUCCGGAAACGGGCGCUAAUACCGCAUACGUCCUGAGGGAGAAAGUGGGGGAUCUUCGGACCUCACGCUAUCAGAUGAGCCUAGGUCGGAUUAGCUAGUUGGUGGGGUAAAGGCCUACCAAGGCGACGAUCCGUAACUGGUCUGAGAGGAUGAUCAGUCACACUGGGACUGGGACACGGUCAAGGCUCCUACGGGAGGCAGCAGUGGGGAAUAUUGGACAGUGGGCGAAAGCCUGAUCCAGCCAUGCCGCGUGUGUGAAGAAGGUCUUCGGAUUGUAAAGCACUUUAAGUUGGGAGGAAGGGCAGUAAGUUAAUACCUUGCUGUUUUGACGUUAACAACAGAAUAAGCACCGGCUAACUUCGUG